This is a long non-coding RNA of Myzus persicae (green peach aphid), 174 nucleotides long. RefSeq lists it as uncharacterized. Lineage: Eukaryota; Metazoa; Arthropoda; Insecta; Hemiptera; Aphididae. The transcript is spliced from 3 exons. The record is from RefSeq and is a predicted model, not a curated record.
UCAGAUUAUGUUCAAUAAGUUGUAUUCAAAUUAAUAUAAAAAUAAAAACUUAACUACAUCAUUUUUGUUUUAUGCAGCGUAUAUGUCAACUUGGGUAUAUGAAAUUAUAACUUCAAGUAAUUCUGCUGAAAAUGUAGCUAUUAAUGCUUCAAAAGAAACUGAUUUAACUGGUAA